GAUGAACGCUGGCGGCGUGCCUAAUACAUGCCAGUCGAGCGAACGGACGAGAAGCUUGCUUCUCUGAUGUUAGCGGCGGACGGGUGAGUAACACGUGGAUAACCUACCUAUAAGACUGGGAUAACUUCGGGAAACCGUAGCUAAUACCGGAUAAUAUUUUGAACCGCAUGGUUCAAAAGUGAAAGACGGUCUUGCUGUCACUUAUAGAUGGAUCCGCGCUGCAUUAGCUAGUUGGUAAGGUAACGGCUUACCAAGGCAACGAUGCAUAGCCGACCUGAGAGGGUGAUCGGCCACACUGGAACUGAGAAACGGUCCAGACUCCUACGGGAGGCAGCAGUAGGGAAUCUUCCGCAAUGGGCGAAAGCCUGACGGAGCAACGCCGCGUGAGUGAUGAAGGUCUUCGGAUCGUAAAACUCUGUUAUUAGGGAAGAACAUAUGUGUAAGUAACUGUGCACAUCUUGACGGUACCUAAUCAGAAAGCCACGGCUAACUACGUG
Molecule: ribosomal RNA, 497 nt
Filed under: uncultured bacterium
Lineage: Bacteria
Description: partial 16S ribosomal RNA
Rfam family: Bacterial small subunit ribosomal RNA
Source: RNAcentral